AGGCUCCCACAAUGUCCAGCACUAGAUUCCAAUCACCACUGAGUACACAGUGUAUCCAAGAACUUUUGAUACGUGGGGGUCUGAGGGUCCC
RNAcentral lists this small nucleolar RNA (91 nucleotides) under Carlito syrichta (Philippine tarsier). The record is from RNAcentral. Lineage: Eukaryota; Metazoa; Chordata; Mammalia; Primates; Tarsiidae.